This 76-nucleotide transfer RNA is filed under the name Candidatus Poribacteria bacterium. RNAcentral describes it as "tRNA-Asn". It matches the Rfam family "tRNA". From Rfam's summary of the family: Transfer RNA (tRNA) molecules are approximately 80 nucleotides in length. Their secondary structure includes four short double-helical elements and three loops (D, anti-codon, and T loops). Lineage: Bacteria; Candidatus Poribacteria. The record is from RNAcentral.
UCCCGCGUAGCUCAGUUGGUAGAGCGAGUGGCUGUUAACCACCAGGUCGUAGGUUCGAGUCCUACCGCGGGAGCCA